This 349-nucleotide ribosomal RNA is filed under the name uncultured soil bacterium. RNAcentral's name for it is "bacterial SSU rRNA". It matches the Rfam family "Bacterial small subunit ribosomal RNA", at positions 26 to 372 of the family's 1533-position model. The record is from RNAcentral.
AGAUUGAACGCUGGCGGCAUGCCUUACACAUGCAAGUCGAACGGCAGCACGGGAGCAAUCCUGGUGGCGAGUGGCGAACGGGUGAGUAAUAUAUCGGAACGUGCCCAGUCGUGGGGGAUAACGCAGCGAAAGCUGUGCUAAUACCGCAUACGAUCUCUGGAUGAAAGCGGGGGACUCGCAAGGGCCUCGCGCGAUUGGAGCGGCCGAUAUCAGAUUAGGUAGUUGGUGGGGUAAAGGCCCACCAAGCCGACGAUCUGUAGCUGGUCUGAGAGGACGACCAGCCACACUGGAACUGAGACACGGUCCAGACUCCGUACGGGAGGCAGCGAGGUGGGGUAAUUUUUGGAAC